RNAcentral lists this transfer RNA (69 nucleotides) under Ictidomys tridecemlineatus (thirteen-lined ground squirrel). Its description in RNAcentral is "Spermophilus tridecemlineatus (thirteen-lined ground squirrel) tRNA". It matches the Rfam family "tRNA". From Rfam's summary of the family: Transfer RNA (tRNA) molecules are approximately 80 nucleotides in length. The record is from Rfam by way of RNAcentral. Lineage: Eukaryota; Metazoa; Chordata; Mammalia; Rodentia; Sciuridae.
GGGGUUGGGGCUCAGUGGUAGAGCACUUGCCUGGCAUGUAUGAAGCACUGGGUUUGAUCCUCAGCACCA